Molecule: long non-coding RNA, 2803 nt
Organism: Equus caballus (horse)
Lineage: Eukaryota; Metazoa; Chordata; Mammalia; Perissodactyla; Equidae
Source: Ensembl
UAGGGCUACCUUGAGGGAACCAGAAAAACGAGUUGCAGGUGUGUGAGGGCUUUCUGGGCGGACCCAGGGAAAACUUAUGACCACAAGGGGGCAGUAGGACGCACAAGCUUUCUUUGAGCCAGGACUUGAGAGUUUUGGGUGUGGGGAAGUCCUUCGCAGCAGGAGAACUGUCCAGAGACAGGCAAGGGUUCACGGGUGCCACCAUUUGGAAGGGGAGGAAGAUGAGUGCCAGCUGGAGAGAACUAGUGAUACCUGGGCAGCUCCUUUACCAGAGUUAACUGGAGAUGCAAAUCCUCCCACGACCUCAGUGAUUGCAUCACAUGGUGAGAGUGAGGAAGUACCACCCGAACCUAAGGAAGGAGCAGCAGCACCAGCGGCACCAGUAAAAGGCCAUGUUGGUAGGGGAGCUCCUGGCCCCAUGGACAGACAAAGAGAACCUCGGGGUGGCAGGCGGGAGCCCAGGCAUCCUGAGGACAGGCAGCGGCCAUUCUACUGCACCGCUUUCACCCUGUUGCAGGUCCAGGAGCAGGAGAGCAUCUUACAACAAAUUCCCUACUCAGGCAUGUUAGCAUGAGCCUCUUCCCUCCCUUCCUGAGCCAAAGGACAACUAGGGAUCCCAAGGCCGUGGGGCCCACCUGUCCUCAGGCCCCAGGGUAGAGGCAAUGCCUCCUGGGCACCAAGAAAGGAGCUUGCAAGAUUCAUGCACGUGACUGAGGCCAGCAUGCAGAUUAGCCCUGAACUAACUACUGCCAAUCCUACUCUUUUUGCUGAGGAAGACUGGUCCUGAGCUAACAUCCAUGCCCAUCUUCCUCUACUUUAUAUGUGGGACGCCCACCACAGCAUGGCUUUUGCCAAGCGGUGCCAUGUCUGCACCCAGGAUCCAAGCCGGCGAACCACGGGCCGCUGAGAAGCGGAACGUGCGCACUUAACUGCUGCGCCACCAGGCUGGCCCCUAGAAAUAUAUUCGAUAUGAUAUAAAUAAAUAUGUGCACAUUUGCAUGUGUAUACAUACACAUGCAUAUAUAUAUAUGUAUUAGGGAGGACUUCUGUGUGGAGACUAUACGAUGGAAAUAAUAACACUAUCUAUGUCAUAGAACUGAUGAGGGGAACAAAUGACAUAAUGCACAUAAGUACCCAGCACAACGCCCAGCGACAGAGGAAGCCCUGAGAAAUGUUCAGUACUAUUACUCCAUGAUAUAGCCUAUCACCGCGGUACAACCUGUGGCAUAUGUGACAUAGUGGGAAGAGGCCUGGUUAGGAGUCACACAUUCUGGUUCCUUUAGAGAUACACGCUGAGAUAUUUACAGAUGAAACGAUGCGAGGCCUAGAUUUGCAUCGAAAUAAUCCAGGGGCAGAUGCAGGGGUGUUGGAGCAUUGGUUAGGGCAUUGAUGAAAUGCGACGGCUGUUAAUAACUGUUGAAACUGAGUAAUGAGGACGCGGGACUCAUGCUACGAUUCUCUCUGUAUAUGUUUGACAUUUCUCAUAAUAAAAAAAUCAUGUUUUUAAAUGAUUGGCGUUACAAACUCAAAUGUUGAGAAGGCCAGGCGUGAGAACAGCAAGGAGGGUGGGGACUGGCACGUGUCUUUCCCAAAGGGGACGGCUGGUAUUCAGCUCAGCUCAGCGUUGCUGGGCAAGAAUGUUGGGUCAGGAUGGCCAGAUUUUCCAGCUUUUCAAGACUGGCCCCAAAUCAAAAUGCUGGUAUGAAACCUUCCAUUCUUUAAAUGUUGGCAACUAACUGAGAUGUUUUACCACAAAGCAUGCUGGCCACCUAAAACAGGUCCGCAGAAUACACUCAGCUUGCAGCUGCCCAUUUGUGGCCCUUGCCUGAGAGCUAACUUUCAACAAGUUUCAUUCGCAGAAGCAGAAGAAUGUAAUUAAAAGCACUCUUAAGGCCAAGAAUCCUAGGUUGCCAUUGUUCCACUCUGUCGUUUCUCAUUAUAAGACCUGCUCCCAUACAUGUUUUGGUCUCUCCCCUCCAUCCCUGCCUGUGAGUUUCUCUACCUGGAUGCUUCGCUCGGCUUACCUAGUUCUGAUCUCAAAUUUUUUCCCACUGAUGCCCAAGACAUUAGGAGCGUCUGAGAGAGGAGGCCCCAAGCUAACGAACCAGGACGUGCUUGACCUGCUCCUACUUGCUGGCACAUUUUCUAACGGUUCUUCACGAUAAGCGGGCAUACUGAGUGAAUCUUAAGAAACAUUAUGCCUCAGGGACAAGGUGAUAGGCUGGGAAGGUCAGAGCACCCAGCAGAAGAAAAAAAGGAUUUUAUGAAACAUUCACAUCCAAAAAUAUAUAUGUUGUUUACCAGUAAUUCAAACGUAACUCAGCCUCCUGUAUUUUUAAUGCUAAAUAUCGCAACUGUAAUGUAAACCUAUUGUCGUUUGCAUAGGAAAUAUUUUCAAUACUUUGUACUCUUUUUCCCAUUCCAUGUAUAUUUUUCUUUUCAUUCAGGAGAAAUUAAAAAACAUGUACUUUGAUUUGAGCCAUUCCUAUAUGAUACACACAUGUGUGCAUCCAUGGAAAUGAGCCACUGGGGCAACCGGUUCCCUGCAGCCUUCCGGCUCCUCAGGAGGCUCUUGGAGUCUAAGCUGAUGAACAGGAGACUGUGUCCUUUCUCAGCCCCAUGUUUGCAAUGACGCAAGGGAAGGGCAUGGGCCACAGGACAUAUUUCACCAGGGAGUGACCCAACUGGCAUUUGAAAUACUGGUGGCACAAGCUUUCAGCAUCACAGCAACAUGCCUCCACCACAGUAUGAAAACCGACAGACGGAUGGUGUGGUUCCCUGACCAGGAAACAAACCCUGUCAG